CAGCCGUCCACGGUAAGGUCAGCGACUGGGGUGAAGUCGUAACAAGGUAGCCGUAGGGGAACCUGAGGCUGGAUCACCUCCUUU
Molecule: ribosomal RNA, 84 nt
Filed under: Saprospiraceae bacterium
Lineage: Bacteria; Pseudomonadati; Bacteroidota; Saprospiria; Saprospirales; Saprospiraceae
Description: partial 16S ribosomal RNA
Rfam family: Bacterial small subunit ribosomal RNA
Source: RNAcentral